UGGGGAAUUUUGGACAAUGGGCGAAAGCCUGAUCCAGCAAUGCCGCGUGUGUGAAGAAGGCCUUCGGGUUGUAAAGCACUUUUGUCCGGAAAGAAAUGGCUCUGGUUAAUACCUGGGGUCGAUGACGGUACCGGAAGAAUAAGGACCGGCUAACUACGUGCCAGCAGCCGCGGUAAUACGUAGGGUCCAAGCGUUAAUCGGAAUUACUGGGCGUAAAGCGUGCGCAGGCGGUUGUGCAAGACCGAUGUGAAAUCCCCGAGCUUAACUUGGGAAAUGCAUUGGUGACUGCACGGCUAGAGUGUGUCAGAGGGGGGUAGAAUUCCACGUGUAGCAGUGAAAUGCGUAGAGAUGUGGAGGAAUGCCGAUGGCGAAGGCAGCCCCCUGGGAUAACACUGACGCUCAUGCACGAAAGCGUGGGGAGCAAACAGG
Molecule: ribosomal RNA, 429 nt
Filed under: Bacillota bacterium
Lineage: Bacteria; Bacillati; Bacillota
Description: Firmicutes bacterium partial 16S ribosomal RNA
Rfam family: Bacterial small subunit ribosomal RNA
Source: RNAcentral